GGGAAACUGCCUGAUGGAGGGGGAUAACUACUGGAAACGGUAGCUAAUACCGCAUAACGUCACAAGACCAAAGAGGGGGACCUUCGGGCCUCUUGCCAUCAUAUGUGCCCAGAUGGGAUUAUCUAGUAGGUGGGGUAACGGCUCACCUAGGAGACUAUCCCUAGCUGGUCUGAGAGGAUGACCACCCACACUGGAACUGAGACACGGUCCAGACUCCUACGGGAGGCAGCAGUGGGGAAUAUUGCACAGUGGGCGCAAGCCUGAUGCACCCAUGCCGCGUGUAUGAAGAAGGCCUUCGGGUUGUAAAGUACUUUCAGCGGGGAAGAAGGUGUUGAGGUUAAUAACCUCAGCAAUUGACGUUACCCGCAAAAGAAGCACCGGCUAACUCCGUGCCAGCAGCCGCGG
This 405-nucleotide ribosomal RNA is filed under the name Enterobacter sp. CSR7. Its description in RNAcentral is "bacterial SSU rRNA". It matches the Rfam family "Bacterial small subunit ribosomal RNA", at positions 120 to 520 of the family's 1533-position model. Lineage: Bacteria; Pseudomonadati; Pseudomonadota; Gammaproteobacteria; Enterobacterales; Enterobacteriaceae. The record is from RNAcentral.